This 41211-nucleotide long non-coding RNA is filed under the name Solanum tuberosum (potato). RNAcentral describes it as "long non-coding RNA (STUB_LNC007935)". The record is from RNAcentral. Lineage: Eukaryota; Viridiplantae; Streptophyta; Magnoliopsida; Solanales; Solanaceae.
AAAAGAAAAAGACAAAUCAAAUUAUAUGUGUUGACAAGAGAGCAUAUAGCAUGAGAGUUGAACGUGUAAAGCAGUUGGGUAAUUUGAAGCAAAAAACACGUGUUUGCAAAGAAAAUCAAAAUCGUAUAUCUUCUUAAUAAAUUAUUAAAGUAAGAAGAGGGGGUGGGGGAAUAAAUUAUCUUGUAAUAUAUGUCAAAACUUGCGUUCACACAUAAUUAACACAUUUAAUGAUCAUAGUUUAUAAUACUCAUCGUCCAUUAUUUUAUAAAUUUUCAUUUUAAUUUGUCACUUUUGAUAUAUUUUCAAAAAGUAAAUCUUUUUUAUAUUUUAUUUUUAGUAUUAAUUAUUUAUUAAUUUCUCAAACUAUUUUUUAAUAUCUAAUACUAAUUAACUAUUAAUUAAUAGGGAUAAUGUGAGAAAAUAAUCAUUUUUAUGUAGAUUUUUGAUAGAAUUUAUUACUAGGUUAAUCCGUUGAAGUUAUUUUUAUUUAUGCAUUCUGAUAGAUAAUUUAUUUUAUUUUCAUUCACAAAUCGCAGGUUUAUUGCUGAAAAGUUAUUUAUUAUUAUAUUCUAAGUAACUUAAUAACGUAAAAAAAUUUAUACUAUCAUAUAAUUUAUAUUAUAUAUAUAAAUAAAAGUUAAACUCUAAUAUACCAAGUAAAUAUAUAUAUUUUCUAUUAGAGUAAUAAUAAAUAAAAUAAUAAUACAUUAAUUUACAUAAUCUCAAAAAUUUGAUGCAAGAGUAGAUAUAGAGUUCACAUUAUAUUUCUUUAGAUAGAGGGUUGUCAUAGUUUUAGCUCAAACUCAAUUAUUAUUUUAAAAGUGUUAUUAAAUAAGUAUAAAUUAUUAAUUUCGAAUCUACCAACUUAAAAAUGGUAAUCCCUUAACGUUUUCAGCUUAGAUAAAUCUAAAAAAGCGUGUGAAACGUCCUUUAAAAAAAAAAUCCAAUUCAACGAUCUAAAAUAAUAUUAACAAGUACAUACAUAUCUUCUACGUAAUUUCUACUUUCUUUGAUUUGACAAUCUCUUUCCUAAAGGGUGCAAUUAAGUCAUGCUAUUCAUACAGCCCCCCACUUUUGACUAUUCAUAAAUACCUUUUUUCCACAACCUUAUAUAUAGGUACACCAAAACCCCCUCAUUGCCUCAUCAAACUCAUCAACUAUAUUGUUCUAUACCCAAAAAAUAAUAAUCAAAGAAACAAACUAAGUCAAGAAUCCAAGUAGAAAAUAGUUGUUACAUUCAAGUUAAUUAGAUAUGAAAGCAGAAGGUUAUUUGUUGUCACUCAAGAUGCUAAACAAGAAUAAUAAUGAAAAUAUCAGCGCGCCUAAACGUGUUAGCAAUGUUGGUGGUUCUCAAGAUGAAAAUAAUUGUAGUACUAAGACAUCAUCGUUGAGGUUGAGAUUCAAGAAUUCGUGUUUGAGGAAGAAAAAGAGAAUAUACAAAUUGCGCAAUUGGUUCAUUGACUCAAUUUUAUUCAAGAUUGCCUCUCUCUUUGAAGCAAUUGUUAUGGUUUCUACCUUAGCUUUCUUCUUAUUCUCUUAUGGUUUUCGUAUUUGAUUCGUAUUUAUAUUUUUAUAUAUAUUCUCUGUAAACCAAGGGUUCAUUAUUAUUGGACAAAAGUUGAUAUCUAAUAGGGGUAUAAGGUUCAUUUGAUUUAUUAAUUUAGUUUUCUUUAUUGAUAUUCUCAUGUUUAUACACUAGGAUUCCCAUUUUGCCGUUUAGUUUUUCGAUUUAGAUAUUUUCAAUAAAAUACAUAAUUCAAUAAAUAAGUAAAUAACAUAUAUAAUGAGAUUUUAACAUCAAAAUAUGAGAUUUUGAUUGGUAAAUGGUAAGAUUUUCAAGAACUCAAAUUUUUAGCUUAAAUGGAGAUUUUGACCUCCAAGUAGGUCCCUUUUCAAAAUAAUUUUUCACCAAUGAGUUUCUAAAGUUUUGAGUAUUGCUUUCAAGUAUUAAAUUUCGGAUUCAAACUUUUCCUUUUGAAAUUGGGUUUGAGUGAGUUGACCCAUUGUGCUAAGCAAUUGAUGUGGGUAUUGUUGUUUCCGGAAAGUGAUUGUGGAUACUUGCUUGUAUAUUGAUUGAUUUAAGACAAGCGAUCUCCUAAACCUUGUAUUCUAGUAGAAUCGUGUAUUCCCUUUGUUGUUUGUGUAUUGGAAAUAAUGGGGAUGGGGUGAAAGGUUAAUUGUCCACUUGAUAAAUCUUAAUGGAUAGAAAGGGUUGAAAUUGAAAAGGUUAUGUGAUGAACAAGAUGAUGUGAAUUGCCUUGUUGUGACCCUUAUUGAUUGAUUGAUGAAAUGCUUGAUAGCAUAAAUGUGGACUUGAUUUGCAUGAAUUAUUGUCUCUUCCAUGUGGUGUGAUAUUGCGUGUGUGCAUUGAUGGUUGAACACUGUGAUGUGGCAUGUGAUGUUUAUGAUUCUGAGGUCAUCGCCGGUGAGUGCUAUUAUUCCUAGGUCAUUUCCGGCAAGUGUUGUGAUUCCAAAGUCAUUUCCGGCUAGAGGAUUGAUAUAAAACCGAUGGAAAAUGGUUCCGGCUAGAGAUAUGGUACCGAUGCUACUUGAUUCGUUUGAUUGUUGAAUUGUGACUAUUGAACUGUAAUUAUUGAGCCUUGCGAGUUGUGCAUUGUAGAACUGCUAGGUUGGGCUGAUUUCUGUGAAAGUUGUAGUAUGAGGAGGUUCGAUUGGAAUGUAAGGGGUAUUCAAUUUCUAGGUAGAUGCCUUGUUUAUUAGGUUGCACUCCUUAUUUCUACACUUGUGUAGGUUCCGAGCCCGGUUUAGCGUGAUCGUCCUUCUUCUCUUACCUUUUUAGGCUUAUCAAAGGACUAUCGAGAGUAACUUUUGUCAUCCCGGCGGGCCCUCUUUUCCUUUUCUUUAAGCUUUGUUCUAAUUGAGAAUCAAAGAUUGAGAUUUGUACUUAUUUCUUAAUUUCACACUUUAUGUAUUUAGUGGUUUGUACACGUGACAACAAGAUUUUGAGGGUUUUAAUAGAAAAAAUAAGUUUUUCUGUUUUAUCUUGUUCUUGCUUUAUUAUUUUCCGCAUUUCUUUCAUUUUCGUUGGGUUGAGACUAACUUGUCUUGGUGGGAAUAUACAAGUGUCCUCGCGUCUAUGUUUGGGUCGUGACAUCAUCAUAGAGUAGUUCCUUAAAUCAUGAUUCAUACAUGUGUGAGAAAACUAUUGACCAAUCAAGAUUUCUUAAUAUGUGAGAAAACAUUUCACAAUUCAUGCAUAUGUGAGAAAACCUUUCAUCGAUGAUUUUCUUAAAGGCAACCUUAAUUCAUAAAACUUAAGCAUAUAGCAUGAGAGUUGAGUAAUUUGAAGGAAAAAAAUGUGUUUGCAACAAAAGUAGAAAUUCAUAUCUUCCCAAUAAAUUAAAUUAGGAAAAAGGAAUAAAGAAGAAUAAAUUAUAGUGUUGACACUAUACAUCUCAACUUAGGUUAGUACAUAAUUAACACAUUUAAUCAUCGUUUAUAAUGUUUUGAACCUGUUAUUAUCAUUUCAAAGUAUAUAGCCGCUAAUAGUACUUAUUAUUAUUAUUAUUAUCAACAAAUUAAAGAGAGGGUCUCCAUAGGCAGAUUUUUGAUAGAAUUUAUUACUAGCUAAUAUCCCCAAGUUAUUUUUAUUUGUUAAUUUAUUACAUAAGAUAAAUUUAUUUUAUUUUCAAAAUAAAAAUCUCACUUUUUAUGAAAAUUAUUUAUAACUAUAUUCUAGAUAACUUGAUGAUAUAAUAAUUUUUUUAAAAUAUAUAUAUUAAUCUAUGAUAUUACAAGUAAAUAUUAUUUUUUUCUAUUUGAGCAACAAAUAGAAUAAAGAUAUAUUAAUUUACACAAUCUCAAAAUUUUGAUGUGAGGGCAGAUAUGGUAAAGUUGAUAAUAUAAGAUAUAACAGUAGUUUUUGUUGGGAAAGGCAAGGCACUAUCAAAGAAUGCUCGGAAGGAUAGCAGCGGAAAAAUAUCAAAGUCUAAACUUUCCCUUACAAUUUGAAUCAAUAGAAGAAAAAACUAAAUCAAUCAAUACGAAGAAUCGACAACAAGUAUAUCAACCAAACAAAAACAAUAAGAUAAGAAUAAAUCAAUCACACAAGACACAAAGAUUUACAUGAAAAACUCUUCGAUGUGAAGAGUAAAAAAUCACAGGACCAAAAGCUCCACUAUAACCCCAAGAGUUGCAAUAUUGUUCUCCAAAAUUGGCCACAAAAGAAGUGCCAAAUAACUAGCAAUAACGAAAUAAGAUUGCACCAAAACUAGAGAAUUAAAGGAGAGAAUCCACUAAAAAAGAGCUAUUGUUCACACCCCAAAAUCAAAAGCUACAGAUAACUAAAUCUAAUCUCCACCGUUGAAAUACAAGAAUUAUAUAGUGAAAACUCCCGGUUCAAAUUUGUGUACGAUCCAACGGUUAACGAAGUGAAGUACUCUGUUUAAAGUGGACUGCCUGUGCAGAAAAUUCCUUGAAGCAAAAACAUGAUUUUUCUCUUUCUCUCAAUCUCUAAAACAACUCUCUCUUGACUUUUUUCUCUCAUUUGUCUCAAAAUAAUACCUAAAUAAGCCUUAUAUAUGCCACAUAAUAUUGGUAUUAUGGGUUAAAGUGGCUGGUCUAAAUAAGACUUUUAUUUAUCCACACCGAAAAGAAAAAAGAUCCUAAAUCCAACAAUUCUCCGCCUCACAACUAUGUGGAGGAGACCGCCAUCCUGGCGAUCAAGCAACAUUCUUUAAACUUCCCUCUUAGCAAAACUUUAGUCAUCAUGUCAGACCCAUUUUCAUCUGUAUGAAUCUUUUCAAACUCAAGCAACUUAGAAUCCAACACAUGUCAAAUCCAAUGGUACCUUACAUCAAUGUAUUUAGACCGACCAUGAAACAUAGAAUUCUUGCCAAGAUGAAUAACUCUUUGACUGUCGCAAUAAAGCACAUACCUCUCUUGAGCACAACUAAGUUUUCCAAAAAUCUCUUCAUCUAGAUCAACUCUUUGCAAGCUUCUACAAAAGCAAUAAGCUCGGCUUCUGCAGAUAAAUCAAAGCAUUUUUGCAACCUAGAUUGCCAUGACACAGCUUCCCUUGCAAAAGUAAUCAAGUAGUCUGAAGUAAACUCACGAGUAUCAACAUUAUCAGCCAUACCAGAAUCAAUGUAACCACAAAUAAAAGGAUUCCCUAUACCAAAACACAAACUAGAAGUGCCACAAAGAUAUCUCAUAACCCACUUCACUGCAUUCCAAUGUUUUCUUCCCAAAUUAGAGAGAAAACGGCUAACAACAACAACAACGUAUGCAAUAUUCGCUCUUGUACAAAUCAUUGCAUACAUCAAACUACCAAAAGCUGAAGCAUAAGAAACUUUCUUCAAAUCUUCCCUCUCAUCAUAGCUAGAAUGACACUGCUGCUUCAUGCUCAAUUUGAAGUGCAUAGCUAAAGGUGCAUUGACAACCUUAGCUUUGUCGAUGUUGAAUCUGCGAAGUACUUUUUAAAUGUACUUCUCUUGUGAUAACCACAACUUCUUGUCCUCUCUGUCACAGACAAUCUGCAUACCAAGAAUCUGCCUUGCUGGUCCCAAGUCUUUCAUAGUAAAAGACUUACUCAACUCUUGCUUUAACUUCUGAAUCCUGCAAGUAUUAUGACCAACAACAAGCAUGCCAUCAACAUAAAGCAACACAAUAAUAAAGUCACCACCAAAGAAUUUUUGCACAAAAACACAAUGGUCUGAAGAAGUCUUCUUGAAGCCCUACUGACUCAUAAAAAAAACAAACUUUCUAUACCAUUUUCACUGUAUUCCAAUGUUUUCUUCCCAAAUUAGAGAGAAAACGGCUAACAACAACAACAACGUAAGCAAUUUUCGCUCUUGUACAAAUCAUCGCAUAUAUCAAACUACCAAAAACUGAAGCAUAAGAAACUUUCUUCAGAUCUUCCUUCUCAUCAUAACUAGAAUGACACUGCUGCUUCGUGCUCAAUUUGAAGUGCAUAGCUAAAGGUACAUUGACAACCUUAGCUUUGUCGAUGUUGAAUCUGUGAAGUACUUUUUAAAUGUACUUCUCUUGUGAUAACCACAACUUCUUGUCCUCUCUGUCACAGACAAUCUGCAUACCAAGAAUCUGCCUUGCUGGUCCCAAGUCUUUCAUAGUAAAAGACUUACUCAACUCUUGCUUUAACUUCUGAAUCCUGCAAGUAUUAUGACCAACAACAAGCAUGCCAUCAACAUAAAGCAACACAAUAAUAAAGUCACCACCAAAGAAUUUUUGCACAAAAACACAAUGGUCUGAAGAAGUCUUCUUGAAGCCCUACUGACUCAUAAAAGAACCAAACUUUCUAUACCAUUUUCUAAGAGCUUGUUUCAAACCAUACAAGUUCUUCUUCAAUUUGAAAACAUAAUUCUUUUUACCCUUUACUUCAAAACCUUCUGGCUGCUCCAUAUAAUUUUUUUCAUUCAAGUCAUCAUGGAAAAAAGCAGUUUUAACAUCCAUUUGCUCAACCUCUAAAUCUAGACUUGCAGCCAAGCCUAGAUUCACACAAAUGGAUGACAUCUUCACAAUUAGAGAACAUCUCAUCAAAAUCAACUCCCAUUUUCUGGUUAAAUCCCUUCAGAACUAAUUUAGAUUUGUACCGUAGAAUUGGAAUACCUUCUUCAUGUUUACCUAGAAAAUCCACAUGUUUUUAAAGCCUUUCGAUAUUUAGGUAACAUAACCAAAUUGAAGGUGUGAUUAUCAUAUUAGGAUUUAAUUUCAUCUUCCAUUUCAUUAAACCACCUUUCGUUUUAUUCACUUUACAUGGCCUCAUCAAGACUCUUAUCUUUUCCCCCAUCAGUCAAUAGUACAUACUCAUUAGGAGAAUAACGAGAUGAAAAAAUUCUCUCUCUAGCAGGUCGUCUGAGAGAAAUCUCCGAAUCAUCAAUAAUUGGUUCUGGGUCACCAACAUCAUCUACCAAUGGAGAAUCAACAACAUCAUACUGGUAAUUUUGAACAUGAUCACCAUCUUCAUUAACAACUUGACUUUCAUCAUUAUGAAGAGUUUCUUCAGUGCAAUAGUCAAAGGAACUGGAUCAACAUCAAUUAGGCUCUUAGUGCUCUGAGAAUCAACUUUCUUGGCUUUGUCAAGAUCUUCAAUUGUUUGGUCUUCAAAGAACACAACAUCACGACUUCUAACAGUUUUUCUCAACUAGCCAAAUUCAUCUUGAUCAUAACAAAGGUACAUUGCCUAGUUUUGACAUACAACUUUGACAUCUCAUCCUUAGCAACAUGCACAAAGGUUUUACACCUAAAAACUUUAGGAUGAUCAUAAGAGACAUUCUUACCAGAUCAAACUUGUCAGGGACAUGACCAUUCAAAGCAAGAGUAAGAGAUAAAUUGAUAACAUAGGUAGAAAUAUUAAGUGCUUCCGUCCAAAAGGAAUCUGGUUGUUUAGCAUCUGAAAGCAUACAUUUAACCCUCUCAAAUAGAGUUUUGUUCAUCCUCUUUGCUAAACCAUUUAGCUAAGACAUAUUUGAAGGAUUUUUUUUAUGCCAACUACCCUGCUCACUGCAAUAUCUAUCAAAAGAAUCAAUAUACUCAUCAUCAUUAUCAAAACGGAUGUGUUUUAAUUUCCUUCCUGUUUGUCUCUCAACCAAGGCCUGAAAACUCUUAAACGCAUCAAGGACUUGACCCUUGAACUUCAAAGAGAAUACCUAGAGUUUGCAAGAAUGAUCAUCAAUAAAAGUCACAAAGUAAAGUGCACCACCAUGAUACUUUUCCUUAAAAGAACCACACAAAAUAAAAUUUACCAACUCCAGCAAAUCAAGCUUCCUUGAAGGCAUAUGACUCUGAAAAGAAACUCUUUUUUGUUUAUCGGCUAAGCAAUGAACACAUUUGUUCAACUUUUCUUGUUUCACUCCAGAAAGCAAAUUCUUCUUAGUCAAUUUUUUCAUUCCCUUCUUGCUCAUAUGACUCAGUCUUUUAUGCCAUGACUAUGAUGAAGUAUCAUUCUCCACCAAAUUUAUCAAGCCUAUAAAAAUGGAGCCCUAGAAUACGUACAAGUUAGACAACUUGUCACCACAAUCCAAAACCAUCGAAUCUCUAGUAAGCUUCCACUGGCCAGCACCAAGGGUAUAAACAUAACCCUCAUCAUCAAGGUAUCCCUCAGAAAUCAAAUUCAAGCGAACCUCUAGAGGAUGUUAUAAUAUUAUUGAAGACUAGUUUGGAUCUAUUGUUACUUUUCAAACAAACAGUCGCAAUGCCAAGAACUGCAACCUCAUGAUUAUUGUCCAUUUUCAGCAUGCCACAAUUACCUGGAGUAUAAGAAGAAAAUAAUUUCUUUUUUGGAGUGACAUGAGAAGUAGCACCAGACUCCACAAACCAGCUAAACUCAUCACGAACAAGAUUGACAAAAUUUUCAUCACAAAAAUAAGAAGAUCAUCAUUAGCAGCAACAACAACACAAUUUUCAUUAUCGCCUUCUUUCUUUUGUUCUCUCAUAUAUCACUUAUACCUAAAGCAAUAUUUUUUUAUAUGCCCAUUCUUGUGGCAAUAGUCACAUGUAACAUUCUUAUAUUUAGACUUUGACUUACCUCUACUUUUAUAUCUGCAUUCUAACCUCUGAACUUGCUUCUCCCCUGUCUUCAGUAACCAAAACAUCGAAGUGUGAAGUAGAAGAAGAUAAGCCUUGAGGUCUUCUUCUCUUCUCUUCAUUCAAGACAUCAUUCUUAGCAUAUUCUAUAGUUACAACACCACUAGGAGCAUAAUUAGUCAAAGAAAUUCAAAGAGUUUUCCAAGAGUCUGGCAAAGUGUUAAGAAGUAAAAGUCCAUGUAUCUCUUCAUCGAACUUUUCAUUCAUUUCGGACAACUAGUCAAGAACACCUUGAAAAUUAUUAAUAUGAUCAGAAAUAUGAGUGUCCUCUUUAUACUUGAUGUUCAUUAAUUGUUUAAAUAGAAAUAACUUAUUGUUGUCAGUCUUUGAAGCAUAGAGUGUCUCAAGCUUGUCCCAAAAUCUUCUAGCAUGUGUCUUAUUCACAAUGUGAUUUCUAACAUUAUCUUCAACCCAUUGUCUGAUAUAGCCACAAACAUGUAAGUGCUCAAAUUCUUAUUCCUGAUCCAUCAUGGAUUGAGGCUUAUUAGAAACAAACACAGGUAAAUGCAUCUUUUUUUAAAAUAGAAGAUCUUUCAUCUUGCCUUUUCAAGUAUGAUAGUUACUACCAUUCAAACAAACCAUCUUGCUCAUAUUUUUCUCCACCGUUCAAAUCGAUAAUCAACAAUAACCUUAUGCUAUGAUAACACUUUGUUGGAAAAGGAAAUGCACUAACAAAGAAUGCCCGAUAAUAUAGCAACAGAAAAAUACCCAAGUCUAAACUUUUCCUUUAAGUUUGAAUCAAGUGAAGACAAACUAGAUCAAGCAGUACGAAGAAUUGACAUCAAGUAUAUCAACCAAACAACAACAACAACAACAACAAGAUAAGAAUAAACAAACACACAAGACACAAAAAUUUACAUGGAAAACCCUUCAAUGCGAAGAAUAAAAACCACAUGACCAAAAGCUCCACUAUAAUAACCAAGAGUUACAAUAUUUUUCUCCAAAUAUAGCCACAAAAUAAGUGUCCAACAAUGAGUAUCAACGAAACAAGAUUGCACCAAAACUAGAGAAUUAAAGGAGAGAAUUCACCAAAAAAUGAGCUACUAUUCAUAACAAAAAAUCCAAAUCUAAAGACAACCAGAUCCGAUCUCCACCGUUGAAAUGCAAGAACCAUAUGUUGAAAACUCCCAGUUUAAAUUUGAGCACGAUCCAAUGGUUAACGAAGCAAUAAACUGUGUUUAAACUAGACAACUUGAGCAGAAAAUUUCUUGAAACAAAAACGAGAUUUUUCUCUCGUUCUUUCAAUCUCUAAAUGCCUCUCUUUCUAUUUCUCUCUCUUGUGUGCCUGAAAAUAAGACCUAAAUAAGCCGUAUAUAUGCCACAUAAUAUUGACAUUUAUUUAUUCACAUAGGAAGGAAAAAAUCCUACACCCACUAUUUUAACUCAAACUCAAUAUUUAUUUUAAAUUUUAAUCAACAUCUAUAAAUUUUCAAUUUCAAAUGAUCAUAUCAAUUAACUUAAAGAAUGUUAUUUUCUCUCGUUCAUAACUUCAUAUUGAAUUGUGCUUUUAAUUUAGGCAAACCCCUUUUAAAAUCUACUAUUUUCUAAAAAUUAAAAGUGUAUCUUGGUUUAAAUAUAAAAAAAUCACUUAUCUAAAUAAGGAUAAUAAAAAAGAAAUAAUUAAUUCCUUUUUAGUUAUGUGAAACACUAUUUAUUUUGAACUAAAAUAGAAAAAUAAAAUUAUCAUUUAAUUAGACUAGGAGGGAGUAAAAUAAACAUCAAAUCUUGUAUUAGGCACACAUUAUUUAUACGCUUCCUUGGAGUAGCAUCCAUCCUCCUACUUUUUUAUUUUUGACUUUUCCAUAAAAAUACCUUUAUUCCAAUCUUAUAUAUCUAUAUAUACCAAAACCCCUCAUUGACUAAUUAGACUUUCCUAUUUCAAGAAAGAAUGAAUUUUGAGGAUUCAUAUCACAUUAGAUUUAAUCUCGAUCAAAUAGUUGAAAUUCAUUUCAAGAAAUAAUUGAUAUUUGAGGAUUCACACCACGUUAGAUUUAAUCUCAAAAGUUGAUCAAAUUUAUUCUCCAGACUCUAUUUCGACUUGCCUUGUACACACGUGAGACAUAUGAACCUUGGGCUCUGAUAUCAUUUGUCACGAUAAAAAAUGCACGUGAUGACACUCAUUUUAUCCCACCGAGACAAGUCAGCCUAACACCCAAAACUACAAUACAAAAUGUAGAAAGUAAGCUAUCAAUAACAUAAGUGUGAAAAAUUUAGAUAAAAUACAUAACUACCACCAAAAUCUGGUUGUCACGUGUAUAAGCCACUAAUGUAUAAAAGCACUUGAAUAGAACGAAGCAUAAAAUAAGGAAUAAGAGGACCCACCGGGAUGACAAGCAACUACCUCGCAACGUGUCCUCAAAAGCCUUAGAAGAAAUGUCACACAAGUCUAGGUCCGAAUCUACACAAGUGUAGAAGCAAUGAGUGAGUACCAAUCAACACGGAACUCAACAAGCAAUCCAAUAACACAAGGUAAAACUAGCCUAGAUUACAAAUACUCAUUUCAUCCCAACCGAACCUCCUCAACUAAAACCUGCACAGAAAUCAGUUCAGCCUAACAAUUUACAAUAUACAACUCACACGGCUCAACAAUCACAAUUCAACAUUAACAGUUCAACAAUCACUAGUAUCACAUUAAUCAAUCACAAGUAUCAAGUUGGAAUUUAUGGGGAAUACCCAUAGUCCAUGCACUCGCUGACAAUGACCUUGGCAUAAUAGAACCCACACGGCAAUGACCUCGACAUCAAUAACAUUCUUCAAAAAUGACCUCGACAUCAAUAACACUCACCGGAAAUGACCUCGGCCUAAUAACCUCGCAUCUCAUCAUAAUGCCCAGAAUCAAUGUGAAUGAGCAUACUCACACAAUAUUGAAGAGAUGAUAAACUCAAGCAAUUCAAGUUCACAAUAAUAUUAUCAAAGCAUUUCAUCAAUCAUGAGUUCAAUGUUCACACCAAGACAAUUCAUAAUACACAAUACAUCAUUAACAACACAUUACCUUUUUCAUUAAACUGCAUUUAUAUCGAUAAAGCUAAUCAAAUGAGUAAAUUAACCCAUCACCUCACUUCCAUUGCUUCCCAACACACACAAUGAAGGAAAAUACAAGUUUCUACAAGUUUUAACAAUGUUUAGAGGUCUUGUCUUAAUCAAUCAAAAGUCACUCUAGGACUUGAGCUUUUCCCCUCCGAAUAAUAUCUAAAGCAACACAAUCUAAUCAAAUAAGUAAUCACAAUGAGAUUUUGAAACUAAUAACACACAUAUCAAGCACUUUAAAAAAUGGGUCAAUUCGACUCAAAAAAUAAAUUCCAAAAAUUAGGUUUGAAAUUGAAAAUCAUUACUUAAAUACGUUACCCAAAACAUUUGAAACUCAUUGGUGAAAGCCAUUUUGAAAAUAAAGGUGUAUUCAACUCAAAAUCACCAAUUUACUUCAACACCCAGUUAGUCUUGAAAACCUUUUCAUUUUGCCAAUCAAAAAUCUCUAUUUUUUUUAAUGUUAAAACUACAAAUGAUAAUGGAGAAUUGAAGACUUAGGGUUACAAACACUUACCCAAAAAAUUUAGUACGAUAAGUCUCCUCAAAAUCACCUUCAACUGUUCUUCAAAAUUCAAAAUGGAGAAAUCCCAAAAAAACAAACUAAAAGGCUCCCAUGUCUCGCUUUUGCAAACCCAGGGUCACUUACACAAUCAUCGCAAUCCUAGUUCAAAAAAUCGAACUCUGAAAAGUUGGCUAGUAAUCACUUUCGCGAGCCGGCCUUCACUAAAGCGAAGGUCGCGAAAGCGACAACCACUCGCAAACGCGAAGGUCUAGGGGAACCGACCCCUUGCGAAUGUGACUAGUAUAUCACGGAAGCAAUGUUUGCGAAAGCGAACAACCUCUCGUUAACGUGAGGCACACAUGGUAAUAGAAAAUUCAUCCAACUUUCAAAAUUCCUAAAUGAUCCUCAGAAUUCGUUCGGAACCCAUAUACACAAAUUAAAUAUGUAACUCGACGAUACUCAACGUUUCAAAUAUAAUGGAACUAUUGAAAUACGAAUCUGAGAUCUCCUAGACCCGAAUCUCGUGUAAAUCACAAGAAACUAACACAACACCUAAAACUGACAAACUAGCUCGGGACCUCUUAAAAUUCAACCAAGAUCUCUGCCUAAGCCUAAAAUCAUCUCCCGAAUUCAAUGGAAUUGUUGGAAAUUCGAUCCGGGCAUCCAAACUCCAAAUGUUAACAAAGUCAACCUAAAGGCUAAAUUCUCACCAAUUUUCAAGUUAGGACCUCAAAUCCAGGAAAAGACUCUGAAUGUAACACUCCGGAAACUAGUAGGCUAAACUAGAGCUUAACAUGUGGGUUAAAGUCGUAAAUGUAACUCCCCGUACUUAAAAAUAAUGGGUUUCAUGUUAGGAUGUCAAGGUACGACCCCCAAGAACCAACUAUGGGUCCUUGAGGAAGACCCUAGAAAAGUUGCAUGUAUAGUGACCCACGAAGGGGACCUACACCACGUAGGUCAACCCACACCCAUGGGUGAGAGGGCCGUAGGUCAGGCCCUAAAAAUCAAGUCCCACAACCCAACCCACGCUUCACCAGCACGGGCCGUAGGUCCAACCACGGUCCGUCAGUGGUAGGUCUUGGAUGGUCACCUGGAAGCUGAUUUGGAGGGUUAAGUUAGAGGGCACUUUGGGGUUUUCCAGGUUUAAUUAAUACUAAGUGAGGUUGUUUUAGCCUAUUUUAGAACACCUAUAUAAGGAUUUAAGCUCACAAAAUUUACUCAUCUUCCUCAUUAUUCCAAAAUCCCAAAUAAAAACCAACUUUUCCCCAAAUAUUCUCUCUCUAGAACUUCAAAGAAAACGAAGAAGGAAGUUGGAGCUAGGGUUCAAUGAGCAAGGUUUUCUUCUCAAAUUCAUUGGAUUUCAUUGCUAAGGUAUGGUAGUUCUUCAUACAUGGAUAUAAUUCAUCCAUGGAGCCCCUUCAAAACCUCAAUUUCAAAGAUGGAAAUUCCCCAAAAGUUAGGGUUUUACUCCAAGUCAUGGGUUCCUUUAAAAAAUGAUUCUAGUGAUUUAAUUACUUAUACUAUGAUUGAAUUUAUGAUCUUUUAUGGUUUUUAUGUUGAAAUCCCCAAGAAUCCAUGAAAUCCCCCAUAUUACUCAAUUAUGAUCUUGUGAUGUAGGUUUGUUGAUGAAAGAAGAGUAUUAUGAGAUUUUACAUGUAGUGAUUUGAUUACUUGAAUUAUGAUUAUAUCCAUGUCUAAAGUAGUGAAUUCUAGAUGUGUUGAUUGAAUAUGAUCAUUGAUCCUUGAAGGGUAAAGUAUGAGAAUUAUGCAUGAUUAUGAGAUUUAUGUAUAUGCUUUAAGAACACUUUGAGAGUAAAGUGAUUAUGAUUAUGAUCUAGUUGUUGUGUUGUUGAAAGGUUAUCCUCAUAUACACACUUACGUAUGAAUAUGAUAUGAUGUGAGGGGUUUUCUCAUAAUAUGAUGAUUCUAAGGUUGAAAGACUAUUCUCACCUAUUGAAUCUAGGAGCUAUCUUAUGAGUUAUGUUGGAUUGAGUGUCAAGACAUUCUUCCAUGAAUAUGAAUUUAAGUCAAGACUUAACAUGAACUCCGUGGGAAUUAAUGCUCAGCACCGAGUGGAUAUUGAUAUGAGAUGGGAACCCUCACAAUAGUAGAGACCGAGUUUCUAGGAACAAUCUCUUGGGAUGGAAGCCCUCACGAUAGUAGAGGUCGGGUUUCUAGUAGCAAUCCCCUUGUCCCAUAAACUAUGUGCCUUCAUAGGUCUUUAGAUAGUGGAUCCACCUAAGCUAAGAGUAUGGUUCUACCUUAGGAAAGUAGGACAACCCCUUUUCGGUGUGGGGUAGACACCGGAUUCCAUGUUAAGCUCACAUGGUCUAUGUCGGUUAAGGCUUAUACCACUAUGAUAGUAUAAACAAUAAUAUGAAUUAUGAACUAUAGCUACUCAAGAAGCUUUACUUAGUAUGUGUGAGAUUAUGGGAUCUUAUUCAUGCAUUACACAAGUAUGCUUUGAGGGUAUUUAUGAUAUGUUCAUCUUACGAUAUGAUGAUCUAUGAGUUGAUUAUGCUUAUGACUUAUGCUUUUUCCACUAUCUUCAAAAUGAUGUUUUAACAUAGUAAAUUGCAUGCAUUCAACUAAAUGUCCUUUUAGCAUUAUUUCAAUGUUUUUAUGCAUGGCUAUCAUACUUAGUGCAUUUUUGUACUAACACAUGCUUUUUCUACAUUUUCCGCAAUUGUAGGGUCCGGUUCUCAAGGUGGUCAUCAUUGUGGCUAAAGAUUGGAUUUGCUUAUUCUCCUAGCUUGUUGGUGAUUCCUCAUGAUUUAAGGACUGAUGUUAUCUUUGUAGUUCUUUUCUUGUAUUUCCUUUACGGACUAUGUUGUAUGGGCUGUGACCCUAUUUCUUUCAAGUAUUGUAAUAGAUGGCUAUAUUGAGACAAGUCUAGACUUUCGCUUUCCUUUAUGAAAAAUUUUGGACUUGAAAUGCGAUUUUACUCUUUAUUGUUCUAUUCUUAUGUUAUGAUACGUUAAGAGGCUUGUAUAAGGCUUCUCGGAGUCUUGCACACCGUGUUACAUCUAGGGGGUACUUUUGGGUCGUGACAAACUUGGUAUCAGAGCACAGGGUUUAGAUUGAUUCUAGGAUGAUGUAUCAUAAGCAACGUCUAGUAGAGUCUUGCUCAUGAGUGUGAAGCGCGCCACAUUUAUGAAUGUGAGGCUACUAGUUGAUUAGGAAACUACAUUUCUUUCAUUACUCUUAAGUCGUGCAAUAGAGUUUAACUCUAUAAAGUCCCUCUCUUAAUCCUUCUCUUAAAAUGAAUACACGAAGGGCUAAUGCUAGAAGAAUAGAGGGUGACAAUGUGAAUGAAGAAGCUCUUCAAGCUAAUCAAGCUCCGAUUGAUCCUUUAGUUAUGUCGAAUGUGGAGGUUAGGUCGGCUUUUCAAAUGUUGGCCCAAGCUUUGACUACUCAAGCUCAAGUUGUGACGGCUCAAGCCAACAGAGAGGUUGUAGCUAUGGUGAAUCCUAAUGUGAGUUCAGAGGCUUCAAGAGUGAGGGAUUUUUCAAGAAUGAACCCCCCGAAUUGCAUGACUCCAAAGUGGAGGAGGAUCCUCAAGAAUUUGUAGAAGAGGUUUAUAAAGUACUUGCUAUUAUGGGGUGACUUCGGUAGAGAAAGCAGAGUUGGUUGCUUACCAAUUGAAAAGUGUUGCUCAAGUGUGGUAUAAUCAAAGGAGGAGAAAUAGGCCGGUAGGAGCAAGUCGCAUAAAGUGGGAGGUGUUCAAAUUGGCGUUUCUUGAUAGGUUCUUUCCCCGAGAGUUGAGGGAAGCUAAGGUGGAAGAGUUCAUUAACCUUCAUCAAGGAAGCAUGAGUGUGAAAGAGUAUGCACUAAAGUUCACUCAAUUGUCCAAGUAUUCUCCAACUAUGGUGGCGGAUUCGAGGGAUGAGAUGAGUAGGUUUUUGACGGAUGUGUCUGGCUUGGUAGUAAAAGAAUGUCGUUCAGUAAUGCUCCAUCAUGAAAUGGAUAUCUCACGUCUUAUGGUGCAUUCCCAAUAAAUAGAGGAAGAGAAACUCAAGAAAAAGAAUAGAGAGGUGAAAAGAACUACGACCGGUGAUGGGAAAUUCUCCAAUGCUAAGUCUGAUGUACAAGGUCGACCAAGGUUUUCCAACCAAGGCUCCUCUAGUUCUCCAAGGGUCAACAAGGAUAGGGUUUCCAACCCUAAACCUCAAGGAGGUAAUAGUGGUGGUUCUUAUGUGGCUAGGCCUAAUUGUGCGAAAUGUGGAAGAAAACAUGAUGGUAAGUGCCUAGUUGGCUCGGACAGUUUCUAUGGUUGUCGAAAGAGUGUCCACAAGAUGAGAGAUUUCCCGAUGCUCAUGGCCAAGGGAAGAGAAGGCAAUUAAACUCCUCCAAGCGGUUCAAACUCCAAUGCCCCAAAGCAAAACCGUUUUUAUGCUCUUCAAUCCCGAGACCAAGAGAGCUCACGGAUGUUGUGACCGGUAUGUUAAAAUUCUUUCUUAUUGAUGUGUAUGCCUUGUUAGAUCUCGGUGCUACUUUGUCCUUUGUGACACCUUAUGUCGCCAUGAAGUUUGAUAUACUUCCCGAAGCGUUAGUGGAACCUUUUUUGGUUUCUACCCCGGUUGGUGACUCAGUGGUGGCUAAGAGGGUGUAUAGAAGGUGUCUCAUUUGCUUGUCCCAUAGAGUUACUUUGGUGUAUUUCGUAGAGUUAGACAUGUUAGAAUUUGAUGUGAUUUUGGGUAUGGAUUGGUUGUAUGCAUGUUAUGCCUCUAUCGAUUGUAGGACUCGGGUGGUUAGAUUCCAAUUUCCAAAUGAGCCUGUCUAAGAGUGAAAGGGAGGAAAUUCUAUGCCUAGAGGUCAAUUUAUCUCUGGUCUUAAAUCUAGGAAGAUGAUCUCCAAAGGGUGUAUUUACCAUAUUGUUAGGGUGAGGGAUGUUGAAUCUGAAACCCCUUCUCUAGAGUCGGUUUCGGUAGUGAAUGAGUUAUCGAAAGUUUUUCCUGAUGAUUUACCCGGUAUUCCUCCCGAUCGGGAAAUAAAUUUUGGUAUUGACCUUUUACCGGAUACAAAGCCUAUCUCUAUUCCUUCUUAUAGAAUGGCUCCGGCUGAGUUGAAAGAGCAACUAAAAGAUUUAUUUAAUAAGGGCUUCAUCCGAUCGAGUAUCUCUCCAUGGGGUGCUCCGAUGUUGUUUGUUAGAAAGAAGGAUGUGUCUCUUAGAAUGUUCAUCGAUUAUCGUCAAUUGAAUAAAGUUACCAUUAAGAACAAGUAUCAUCUUCUGAGAAUUGAUGACUUGUUUGAUCAAUUUCAAGGGGCUAGUUAUUUCUCAAAAAUUGACCUUCGUUCGGGUAUCACCAGUUAAGGGUGAGAGGGGUUGAUAUUCCCAAGAUGGCUUUCAGAACUCGAUAUGGACAUUCUGAAUUCCUUGUGAUUUCAUUUGGCUAAACUAAUGCUCCUGCGGCAUUUAUGGACCUAAUGAAUAAAGUAUUUAGGUAAUACCUAGACAUGUUUGUAAUUGUGUUUAUCGAUGAUAUUUUGAUCUAUUCAAGGAGUGAGAAUGAUCAUGAGGACCAUUUGAGAAUUGUGUUGCAAGUUCUUAAGGACCACCAACUUUUUGCAAAGUUUAGCAAGUGUGAAUUUUGGUUGAGAUCCGUAGCUUUCCUUGGUCAUAUUUGUCAAGCAAGGGUAUUGAGGUAGAUUCUAAGAAGACGGAUGAGGUCAAGAGUUGGCCUAGAGCUCUAACUCCUUUCUAUAUUAGAAGCUUUUUGGGUUUUGCCGGUUGCUAUAGAAGGUUUGUUGAGGAAUUUUCUUCCAUUGCUUCUCUUUUGAUUGCUUUGACUCAAAAGAAAGCUAAGUUUGUGUGGUCGGAAUCUUGUGAGAAAACUUUCCAAGAGUUGAAAGAUAGACUUAUUUCUGCUCCGGUGUUAACCUUACUAGAAGGUACAAAUGGUUUCGUGGUAUAUUGUGAUGCCUUUAGAGUGGGGUUGAGAUGUGUGCUCAUGCAAAGCGGUAAAGUGAUUGCAUAUGCUUCAAGGCAACUUAAAGUCCAUGAAAAGAAUUAUCCGACCCAUGAUCUUGAAUUAGCGGCGGUUGUGUUUGCCUUAAAAAUAUGGAGGCAUUAUUUGUAUGGGGUCCAUGUGGAUGUUUUCACCGAUCACAAGAGUUUUCAAUAUGUAUUUAGUCAAAAGGACUUGAAUCUUCGACAAAGAAAGUGGCUAGAACUCUUGAAGGAUUAUGAUAUGAGUGUCCUUUAUCACCUCGGCAAAGCCAAUGUGGUAGCAGAUGGACUUAGUAGAUUGUCCACGGGUAGUGUGGCUCAUGUAGAGGAUGAAAAGAAAGAAUUGGUUCGUGAUGUGCAUAGGUUGGCUCGACUAGGUGUUCAACUAGUGGAUUCCACCAUGGGUGGUGUCAUGGUCCAUAAUGGUUCCAAAUCAUCCUUUGUAAUAGAUGUGAACCCUAAGAAAGACCUUAAUCCUAUAUUAGUUGAGUUGAAAGAGUCGGUACUCAAGAAGUCCGUUGAGUUUUUCUUCCAAGGGGAAGAUGGGGUGCUUAGGUACCAAGGUCGGUUAUGUGUUCCAAAUUUUGAUGGUUUGAGGGAACAAAUUUUACAAGAAGCUCAUAGUUCUCGGUAUUUUAUUCAUCCGGGAGCCACCAAGAUGUAUUGUGAUCUACGGAAAGUCUAUUGGUGGAAUGGGAUGAAGAAAGAUAUUGCGGGAUUUGUAGCCAAAUGUCCUAAUUGUCAACAAGUUAAGGUUGAGCAUCAAAGGCCGGGAGGCUUGUCCCAAGAUAUAAGUAUUCCCACUUGGAAGUGGGAAGAUGUAAAUAUGGACUUUAUUGUGGGUUUGUCUUGUACCCGAAGGAAACAUGAUUCUAUUUGGGUCAUUAUAGAUCGGAUGACAAAAUCAGCCCACUUCAUUCCCGUCACGGUUUCCUUUUCGGUGGAAUACUAUGCCAAGGUGUAUAUAAGGAAGAUAGUGAAGUUGCAUAGAGUUUCUCUAUCUAUUAUUUCCCAUUGGGAUACUCAAUUUACUUCCCACUUUUAGAAGUCAUUCCAAAAAGGUCUUGGCGCGAAGGUGAAGCUUAGUACAACUUUUCACCCCCAAACGCAUGGACAAGCGAAAAACACCAUUCAUGUAACACUUCGUAUCCAAAAAUAGACCAACCAACAGAUUUCCAGAAGUUUCAGGUGCAACCCACGGACCGUAGGGUGACCUACGUUCCGUCUUGAUGGUCCGUGGUUCACCACCUGCAGCCCCUCCCAGAAAAGGCCCAUAAAAUUAUUCUAAGUCCAGACCUACGUAAGGACCUACAGACCGAAGGCCAGACUAGGGUCUGUGUUCCAGGGCCGUAGGUCAGACCCUCAGACAAAUGUUUAUAUGACAUGACCUACAGACGAACCCACGGACCAUAGGUUAGGCCACAAAUCGUGGUCCUAGUCCGUGGAAUGAGGCCCCAGAAUCUAGUCCCAGAACCCCGUUGAUGGUUGACCAGCAUGACCGUUGGUCCAUCCAUGGUCCGUUGGUGGCCUCGAUAACUUUUAAGUCAGGGGUCGUUUGGUCUUUUCCCUAUGUGUUGGACCCCUAAACUACAUAGUUUUUGUCAGUUUUAGCCUAGUAAACUAAUUAGAACCUAACCUAAUCAAUCAUUCAUCUAAAAUUCAUCAAACUUAGAGCAAAAUAGAGGAGAAAGUUGAGCAGCCCUAGUUCAAGAGCGCAAGGAGCGUUCAUUAGUUCCAACCUCGAAAUCAAAAGAUUUCUCGGUGAAUUUUAUCACCAGGUAUGUGGGAUUUCACUAGUGGUUUCCUUUCACCCAUUAGGUCCCUAGAAUUCAGUCAGAUUCUUGAUUCCUUUCAUAUUAUCUAGACCUAGGGUUUUUAGAAUUUCAGAAGAUUAUUAUGAAUUACUGUAAUGUUCCUAAUUAGAUUAUCAUGAUAUUAGUAUUAUUUUGCGUAGAUUUUUUCAUAAGUUCAGAACCCUAGCUAUGUAGUUCUUUUAGUUCAUGAAUUACACAUGCUAGGUUAGUUAUCUCAGUUAUACAUGCCUCAGAUUUGAAUGUUUCAUUAUUAGUACAUUAAUGUUGCUUUUUUAGUUAGCAUGUCAGUAUUUUGAGCUAUCCAGUAUUACAUAAAUUCACUCAUAAACUGUUAAUUACAUAAUCAAUUGGGAGUAGCUUAAUACCGAGUGGACUAGGGUCAGUCACCCUCAACUCCCAGAACUUCGUGCCCCCGUAGGUUAUAAGUCCUCUCUGUGGGCAUCAAUUUAGUGAUCACGCUAGUUAUGCCUCUAUACCUCCGACAGGGUAUAUUUGGUCCUCUCGAUGAGGCGUAUACAUCGGACUCCAUAUUUAGCUCAUGUGGUUUUAUGUCGGUUAUUAGUAGCUCCCUUAUAGUUAGACUCUAUUGCAUUGACCAUGUUAUCAGUUACAGUCAGAUUUUAGUCUCAAUUUGUUAUAAACUUGGUCAUUGCAUUCAGUUAGUUCAUGUUUAGUAUUUUCAGUAUAGAAUCAUGCUUAUCUUAUCUCAUUGCUCAAUUAUAUGCUUUGUUCAGUUAUGUUUAUUGUUCAGCUUUACUCUAUCUUACAUUCUCAAUACCUUUCAAGUACUGACGCAUACGAUGCGCUACAUCUUUUUAUGAUGCAGGUUCAGGUCCUCAACUUUCAGAUCACGCAUAGGUCGAUUCCCGAUCUUCAGCUCAGCAGUAUCAGUGGUGAGUCCUCAUUCUCUGAGGACGACAUACAUAUUUCUUUUUAUUUUUAGUCUUUAGUUUCAGUUUUGUUAGAUUUAGCUAGGGCAUGUCCCAGCAUUUCUAGUCAGUUAAAGGCUUAUUUUCAGACAUAGUUAGAUUCAGCUUUAGCAUUUGAGUUUGACCUUUUAGUUGUUGUUUAACUCUCAGUUUUUUAUAUAUUCAGAUAGUUUAUGGGUUUUCCCCAUCAUUUUAGUUUUAUGAUGAUUUAAGCUUCCGCACCGUACUUUCUUAAUUCAGUUAUCUUUAAGUAUGCUUAUGAUAUGCCAGUAGGGUUAGCUUGGGGUCACUCGCGAUCCUAGGUCCCGUGUCCGCGUCUUGGGGGUAGCUUCGGGGCGUGACAAACUUGGUAUCAAAGCACUAGGUUUAAGUGUCCUAGGAUGUCUGAAAAGCCGCACUAAGUAGAGUCCUUUUCAUGGGUGUGAAGUGCACCACAUCUAAUGAGUGGGAGGCUACGAUGUGUUCUAGGAAAACUUCACUUUUUUUAUAUUCUUAUCGUGCGUGGGUAUGAUCUACCUUCUAAUCCAUCAUUAUGCAUUUCAGAUCAUGCCUCCUCGUAGAGAUUACAGAAGGAAUGCUAAUGCACGCAAUGCUAAUGCAACUCUUCCAGUCCCAGAUCAGGAAGUUUCGAAUGCAGAGUUCCAAAACGCCAUUUAGUUUUUAGCUUAGAGUGUGACCAACCAGAACAACCAAUAUGUUCAGGUUCCUACAAAUACUAGUGGUGGAUCAGCGGCAACUAGGGUUUAUGACUUUGUUAGGAUGAAUCCGCCAAAAUUUCUAGGAUCGCAAGUUGAUGAGGAUCCCCAAAACUUCAUAAAUGAGGUCAAGAAGAUCUUUGGAUUAAUGCAAGUGAUUAGAAAUGAUAGGGUGGAGUUGGCAUCCUACUAACUUAAGGAUGUAGCUCACAUAAGGUUCACGUAGUGGAAAGAAAACAAAGAUACGGAUGCAGUUCCUAUCACUUGGGAGUAUUUUAGUGAGACCUUUCUAGAAAAGUUUUUCCCAAGAGAGUUGAGGGAGGCAAGAGCUCACGAGUUCAUGAAUUUGAGGCAAGGUAACAUGAUAGUCGAAGAGUACGUGCUCAAGUUCACCCAACUCUCCAGGUAUGAUCCUCACAUGGUUGCCGAUUCCAGGGCUCAAAUGAAUAAGUUUCUGUAUGGAGUAUCCGACUUGGCGAAAACUAAGUGUCGCAAUGCUAUGUUACUGGAGAAUGUGAAUAUCUAUAGGCUCAUGACUCAUGCUCAGCAGGUUAAGGGAGAUAAGCUUAGGGAACAUGCUAAGGAUAAUAAGAAGGCUAGGACAGGCAACUAUGAGUAUUCUCAAUAGAAAUCAGGUGGUGGAAAUCGCUCGCAGUUUCAGCAAAAGUCUUCAGCUCCAGCACAUUCAUGAGAUAGUGUUCCAUCUUCCAGGUUUCGACAGAAUCAGAAAGGUAGGGCAAUAGGCUCUAAGUCUCAUGGGAGUAUUUUAGGCAUCAAAACCUACCCAACUUGUCCAAAGUGUGGUAAGAACCAUCUGGGCAAGUGUCUUACAGGAAAUGAAUGAUGCUUUGGGUGUGGUCAGUCUAGUCACAGGUUGAGAGACUGUCAUUCUUCUAAAUAGGGUCAAGUAGGAAACAAUGGUAGGGCUCAGUCUACAUCUUCAGCAGUACCAGCAGGUCACCCGACUCAGCAAGGUAACUCAUCUGGUAUAGGUGGCGGACAACACCAAAACAGGUUGUAUGCUCUUCAGGCUCACCAAGAUUAGGAAGAUUCUCCUGAUGUAGUCACUGGUACGCUACGAGUCUUUAACUUAGAUGUUUAUGCUUUGUUAGAUCCAUAGCCUACUCUCUCUUCUGUAACUAAUAACUAUCGAUUUUAGUGUCAGUCCCGAAAUUCUCUCAGAACCCUUCUCAGUCUCUACUCCAGUCAGUGACCCAAUUAUAGCUAGAUGGGUAUAUAGAAAUUUCCCUGGCACAGUCUCUCAUAAAGUCACCUCAGCGGAUCUUGUAGAGUUAGAAAUGGUAGACUUUGAUGUCAUUCUUGGCAUGGAUUAGUUACAUUCCUGUUAUGCCUCAGUCGAUUGUAAAACUAGGAUCGUUCAUUUUCAGUUUCCAGACAAACUAGUAGCUCAGUGCCUAUGGGUCGAUUCAUUUCUUACCUUAAGGCCAGAAAUAUGAUCUCUAAAAGUUAUCUCUAUCAUCUAUUUCGGGUUAAGGAUUCAAGCUCUGAAACCUCAACUCUUGAGUCAGUUCCUGUAGUUAAUGAGUUUGAAUGGAAGGGUAGUAGGUUGGUGCAUAUGGGUCGAUUCAUUUCUUACCUUAAGGCCAGAAAUAUGAUCUCUAAAAGUUAUCUCUAUCAUCUAUUUCGGGUUAAGGAUUCAAGCUCUGAAACCUCAACUCUUGAGUCAGUUCCUGUAGUUAAUGAGUUUCCUGAAGUGUUUCCAGAAGAUCUUCCCGGAGUUCCUCCCAAAAGGGAAAUCGACUUUGGANNNNNNNNNNNNNNNNNNNNNNNNNNNNNNNNNNNNNNNNUCCAGAUACCCAGCCUAUUUCUAUUCCUCCUUACAAAGUGGCUUUAGUUGAGCUUAAGGAAUUGAAGGAGCAGUUGAAUGACCUUUUAGAUAAGGGCUUCAUCAGACCUAGUAUUUCCUUGUGGCACCAGUAUUUUUUGUGAAAAAGAAAAAUAGUUCUCUCAAAAUGUGCAUUGACUAUCGGCAGUUGAACAAGGUCACGAUAAAAAAUAAGUAUCUUAUCCCCUAAAUUGAUGACUUAUUUGACCAACUUCAAGGUGCUAGUCAUUUCUCAAAGAUAGACCUCAGAUCCGAUUAUCAUCAGCUCAGAGUCAGAGAUAGUGACAUUUCGAAAAUAGCCUUCAGAACUCGGUAUGGUCAUUAUGAAUUUGUAGUUAUGUCAUUUGGACUAGCCAGUGCUCCUUCAACUUUCAUGGAUUUGAUUAACAGAGUGUUCAAGCAGUAUUUGGACUUGUUUGUUAUCGUCUUUAUUGAUGACAUCCUCAUUUACUCUAGGAAUGAGGAAGAAGAUACGACUCAUUUGAGGGUUGUCCUGCAAACUCUCAAAGAUCGUCAGUUAUUCGCUAAGUUUAGCAAAUGUGAGUGUUGGUUGUAAUCUGUUGCUUUCCUUGGGCAUAUUGUGUCUAGCGAAGGGAUCUGAGUGGAUUCUCAGAAAAUAAAAGCAGUGAAACAAUGGCCCAGACCUACCUCUCCUAUAGAUAUAAGAAGUUUCUUGGGUUUGGAUGGUUAUUACAAAAGGUUUGUAGAAGGAUUUUCAUCCAUAGCUUCUCCAUUAACUAAGUUAACUCAGAAAAAGGUUAAGUUCCAAUGGUCAAAUAAUUGUGAGAAUAGCUUUUCAGAACUGAAAACUAGCUUGACUACAGCUCCUGUUUUGACUCUACCAGAGGGUUUAGACGGUUAUCUGAUCUAUUGCGAUGCAUCUAGAGUCGGCCUAGGUUGCGUGUUGAUGCAACGAGGUAAGUUUAUAGCUUAUGCUUCUAGACAACUCAAGGUGCAUGGGAAGAACUAUCCAACUCAUGACCUCGAGCUUGCAGCAGUGGUGUUUGCACUUAAGAUUUGGAGACAUCACUUGUAUGGUGUUCACGUAGAUGUGUUCACAGACCAUAAGAGCCUUCAGUAUGUGUUCACCCAGAAAAAGUUGAAUCUUCGCCAGAGGAGAUGGCUUGAGUUCCACAAAGAUUAUGAUAUGAAUGUGCUUUAUCAUCCUAGUAAGGCCAAUGUAGUAGCAGAUGCUCUUAGUAGACUAUUUAUGGGUAGUGUAGCACAUAUUGAGGAAGAAAGGAAAAAACUAGCAAAAGAUGUUCACAGGCUUGCUCGCUUAGGAGUUUGUCUUAUGAGCAUAUCAGAUGGUGGUGUAAUAGUACAGAAUGGGUCAGAAUCUUCAUUGGUAGCGGAUGUUAAGGAAAAGAAAAAUAAUGAACCUAUAUUGCUUCAACUAAAGUGUCAUGCCCCAAACUCGAGGGGCGCAACUAGCUCCUAAUGCCAAAACUCAGGCCUGAGUUGACCCUGCUGAACCAUUUGCUACUAGCGCAUGGCAGCCACACGCAAUCAAGAAAACAAACAAGUAUAUCUCGGCUUAAAACUAAGCCCUCGACUGGUAAGGCCCCUGUCAACUGAUCUAUAAAGGAAACAACUACUCCCAGGAGAGCAUAUUAAAUAAAUAGCCAACUAGUACAAAAGUCCUGAUUGGGCCGUCGAGGCCACCAUGAUAUCUAUACCAAAACUAAAAGCACGUAUAUAUCAAGUUAAUAAAUCAAACAUCUCACAAGCUUCAGUAAACCAACAAACUAGGAUAGUAUGUCCAUAACAUAGCUAUACACCCCACACACUAGUCUGCAAGCCUCUAAGAGUAGUAAAGAUUGGCGGGACAGGGCCCCAGCCUACCCAUAAACAUAUAUACAACAAAAGGUAACAAACCUCCCAACUCUGGAAGCUCCGGAGGAAAGGGGCUAGCCAAUCGGAUAGAAGUCAAUCAUGCUGCUAAGGAAUCAUCUAAAAAGUAUGACCGUUUUUACCCACGAUGGCUACAUGGUUUAUGGAGACUUGAGUUAUUAUGAACUCGUCCUCAUAUCGGUGCUCAAUACUACUCCCAAAAUAUACUCGGCUCAUAUGUUUUAAAAUAAAACUCUCUCUGUGGUUUGAGAUAAUUACUCAAAAACUAGCUCAAAGGUUCUCUUAGAAAUUGGUGUUUCCUCUCUUGUUUAAAUGUGAAAACAUUUACUCUUUUAGAAAUACAUAGUCUUGGUAUACUCUUUUAAAGAAAAGAACUUUGAUCUUCACUCUUUAUUCAACUCAAAACUCAAGUCUUAAAAUAAAGUUAAAAAGUUUGCAAAAGACUUUUGAAAUGACUCUAAGAACUCUCUAGCCUUGGCUCUUAACUUUCCUUGAAUUUGAAUUUAUGGAUUCAAGGAUUGUGAUUUGUGAUAGGAAGGAUCUCAUGAUGUUUAGGAGUGUUUUUAGAUAGUUAAACGUGAGAAACGAUCAAGAAAUUCCUAUCUAGAAACAAGUUCACGACGCGGAGAUGCAUUUAAUUAUUUGAUCGUGAAAUAAAUUUUGAGGCAGAAUGGUCUGUGACUACUUCGCGAUGCGGAGAAAAUUUUGUCAAUCCUAAGGAACAGGUCCGCGACGCUGACCUGGUACCCAGAUUUGCCCGACUUGUUCCUUCUUCGUUUUCUAACACCAAUUCGCCUAAAUUCGAUUCUUUUUCUCAAUUCCUCUUUAGAUUCAGAUACCCAGCACAUGUACACAAGAAUCUAACUCAAAAAAACUCUAACAAUCAACCUUAAACUCUCAAGAACAAAAGCAAUUCAAGAAUACAACUCAAGAACAUCAAAGUCUCAAUCUUUUAGGACGAAAAUCAUACUGAAAUAAACAUGUUUGGCACGUGGGUGAACGAACCCAACGCUAUGUGAACUCACAUACCUCGUAGGAUUGAAUCUUUGGCGAAAACCACAACCAAAAUCGCAAGAACUUGACGAAUCUUUGAACUUUUCUUCUCCUUUCUCCUCUUGAGUUCUUUCUCCAAUAACCCUAGCGUGAUUUGGUAAGGCAUAAACUGAUCUAACUCUGUUUAGACCCAAAUUAAACUUCUAAAAACGAAAUAAAUUAAUUGGGCAUGGAAAAGACCAAAAUACCCCUUUAAAAUCCGGUUUUAACUUUCAUUAUCUAGACAACUCAACUUCAAAUGGGCAUAUAUCCCUCAUACAAACUCGAAAUCAAGCAAACUCGGAGGCGUUGGAAAGAUAAUUCAAAGAUAUUUCCUACGGUAUCUUGUAGCACACCUAACUUAUCCUGAGCUAGGAGUUAUCGCCACUUGAAGUUGACCCAAACUCAAGCUUAGCAUAACUUUAACAAAUUUUCCAGAUUUUUCAUUCUUUCCAAAAAUAACUCUUUCUAAUUCUAGCUCUUUCACUUAGCGAGGUGUUACAAUCACGAACAUAAUUUGGUACUGUGUACGGAUACAUAUCCUUCUAAAUUAGGACAACCGUAGAAGAUACAUAGCAACACUUGAUACAUGAUAAAUGAUACAUUUGGUAGAACUUUUGUAUUAUCAAUGCUAGUUAAGGAUAUCUAUCAAAACUAAUAUUUGAAUACGAUACAUUGUGAAUGAUAAAAAAUUUAAUGCAUCAUAAUGUUGAAACGAAGACAUUAUACAUUAGUUUAAGAAACAAAAUCAACUAGAUACAUUAAAAAUCUGAACCCAUAUGCAUUAGAAAGGACGAACAACAAAGAAUCGAAAAAAAUCAACAAUUUAAUCUGCUGAAAGCAAAAAAAAAAAUGAUGAAGAAAUCCUCCUACACUUUCAUCAUUGAGGGAGUGAAAAUAUGGAGAGAUUAAGGGAGUGACAAUAGGAAGAGAAACGUGUACUUGAGUGUUGAAGCUUUAUGUAUCUGGAACAUUGGGGUUUGGGAGGAAAAAGAUGGAUUUUGGAAAUAUUUUGGAAUGGUAGGAAUAAUGGAAAUUGUGGAAAAUAAAAGUGUGUAUAUAGGUAAUUUUUCUGAAAAAAUUAGUAUUUGAGCCAAGUUCUAAUAUUUGAAAAAAUUUAAAAAUAAAAAAUCGCCCUAAACUUUUAUAUUUUAUCAAAAAAACACCCAUCACUUAUUAGUUCCAACUAAUAUCUAUCUACCAAAUUACUCCUUUAAUAACUAAUAAAUAUUCCUCUCUAUUAUCUAUAUAUAGAACGUGGCUAAGAGAAAUUUUUGUUUUUAAUAGAUUAUAAUUCAUCCUGAAUUAGUGACAAGUUUGAGUAUGCGAUUAAUAUAUUGCUCUUGUCAUAUUGUUGAUUGUUAUCAUUAUAAGGUUAUUUUUUAACAAAACAUAUUCAUCAUAAAAUGAAAAUUCAACCUUAAAGAUAUUUUAAAUAAUUUUUAGAACUUAUUGAUACAAAUCAUAUUUUUUGAAAUGAUCAAAUGUUUCUUCUGAAAUUUAUGGACAAACGUUGUAUCAACAAUAAUGAUACUUGAUCAUAUAAUUUAUGAUUGGUAAAAGGGUCUGAUAUACCCCUCAACUUUGCCAUUUGGAGCUGAUAUACUCCUUGUUAUGAAAGUAACUCAUAUAUACUCCUAUUGUUAUACAAAUGACUCACAUAUACCCUUUUCUUCUAACGGAAAUGAAAAAAUUAACUUUAAUUUAAUUUUUUAAUUAUUUUUUGGAAAAAAAUAUAAUCCAUAUGGGGUAUAUUUGAUCCUCCUCACAUGUAUUUUUUUUACUUUUUUGUUUCAACGACUAAUUUAAAUUUAUUAUUUUGAUGGUCAAAUAUAUUUAUUUUUCACUAAUUUUCUUGUAAAACUUAUUAUAGAUGCCCAUUUUAUUUUUUUUACAAAUACAAAAAUUUAAUUACAAUAUAGCUGAAAAAAAUAGUUUUAAAUUUUUUCUUUACACUAAAGAAUGACUGAAAAAAAAGAAUAAGAAACUCUAAUAAUGAUAAUCAAAGAAGUCAAAAAAUAAUUUUUGAAUGAAAAAAAUUAAAAUAUACCUUGAACUUUGCUAGAAGGAUCAUAUAUAUAGCCCUACAUGAAUUUUUUUUAAAUUUAAAUUCAAAAAAAUAAAAUUAAAACUAAUUUUUUCACUUCCAAUAGAUGAAGGGUAAUGUAAGCUCCUUUCGUAAUAGUAAGCAGGGGCGGAUCUAUAUGUAUGUGUGGGGUGCCACGGCACCCAGUGAUCUCGGUUAAAAUUUCGUAUAUAUAUGUGUAUAUGUUUAAGAAAUCGUUAUAAAUAAAAGUUGCCACCCAUUGAACGAAUUGGUGAUUGGUGCCGUUGGCAAAAGACACAGAUCCAUGCACCCGCAAUGCAGGUCCAAUUCUCACUCUCAACAUUAUAUUUUGGAUGCUUGUAUGAACUGAAGGCUUUCUAAGCUCUUUUUUUUUUUUUUUUUUCCUGUUUUUUCUUGUCUUUUUUUUUCUCGAUUGGUUCUUAUUUAUUUGGUACUAUUCUUUAUUACGUAAUUUAAAUUGACUCCUUUUUUCUGUGAUUAGUUCUUAACUUUUUUUAUUUUCUCUGUCACUAAUUACUGAUCUCUUGAUAUGAAUAUUAUGUGUUUAUUCUUUAUUAAUUAAUGAGUAUUGUAUUAUGAAAGUCACAUAAAUAUUACUACGAAUAUAUUUAAAUUGUUUUUUUUUUAAACAUAAGUUUUAAAAAAUGAUGAAUAUUAUUAUGUUUGAGUUCUUUUAAUUUUAAGGCUAUUCCGAUCUUCACGUUCUUGAUAAGUAAGAUGGUUGGGUUGAAACCAAUUUUUUCUCUACUAUAUUAUAUGCAACAACACAUAAAGACAAUGAAAUACGAAUAUAUUAAGUUAACACAAUUAGAUGGUUUAUACAAAUUUGAAAUUUUAAUGUGGAAAAUCUUUUCUUCCUCAAAGUUUUAGAGAAUGCCUCUAAAUCCAAAAAAAAAAGUUGAAUUGUUUAGUUAUCUCUAAUCUCAGAAUAACUAAAAGAAAAUAUUACUAACAUGCACAUUUAAUCAAUUUAUUUUAUAAAAAUAAAAAAAGAUAAAUAAUCCAAAUUGUAACCCAAAAUUAAAGGAACCGAUCCGUUUAUCUUACUUGGGUGAUGUGGCACCCACGACCUCUAAAUCCUAGAUCCGCCUCUAACAGUAAGGGUAUAUGUGAGUCAUUUGUAUAAUGAUAAGGGUAUCUAUGAGUUACUUUCAUAACGAGGAGUAAAUGACAAAGUUAAGGAAUAUAUCAGACCCUUUUCUCUUUAUUAUACUAGUAUACGUACCAGCGCGUUGCACGAAUAUUUAAAAAUAUAAUAAUUUUUAAAUUUAGAAAAUAACUAAUACAAAUUAUUAGUGAGUAACAAAAGUACAUGUGUAAUCAUAUAUAAUGUUUUAGUUUAUAUAUAUACGCUUCAUGCUAACACAAUUUUACCAUAAUUUAUAUCAAGUUUGUUUUUUGGCAGUUUUAUUUGACAAAAUUUAACAUAAUUAUUUAUCAAAUAAAAAUUAUGUUUUUCUGGAGGUAGUCUUUUUUUAAAAAAAAAAUCAAACUGAAAAAAUUGUUAAUUAUUUUGAUGAGACAUGUGGCUUUAUUUGCAAAAGUAUGAAUUUAUAGUAUUUUAAAUUUAUCCUUCUUAAGAAAUGAUAAUUCGAAAAUCAUUCUAUUACUAACAUAUUUUAUUUUUUUUACAACAUAGAGAUUUGAAAUAUUUAAAGUCAUUUUUAGAUAUAAUACAUGGAUUCACAAACCUUUUAAUCAUGGCAUGAGUCUGAUCUCUGUCUAAAUAAUUAUACACCAAUACAAAUAUAAAACUUAAUACUAUGUAGAAUUUAAAAAGAUAGAUAAAUAAAGACAAAUAAUAAUACAAAUUACAAAUUAGUAGUAUAAUUUUGAGAAAUUAUAUAAAAUUAUAUAUAAAAAUGAUAUGCAUCAACUCAAUGUUAACAUUUUUUUCCUUUGAAUAUUGUGCUAUUCAUGACGAAGACAGUACUUUUGAAAAGAAAAUUGCUUCAUUAAUAUGAGAAAUUGAAAAAAUAUGAUAGUGCGGAGGAAAGGAAAUGGAAAAGUGGGAAUAGUAGGUGGUUUAUAAAAUUGAUUCUUUGUUUUAUUUAUUUUUUACUUAAUACAUAUGCUCAAAUAAAAUGUUUUCUGUAAUAAUAUAUUAGGUAAGGAUAAAAUUAAAAAGUUAUAACAAUUUGUAACCACUUCAUCUUAUAACACUCUUCUCAAUUUUGAAUUAUUAUUAUUAUUUUAUUAAAAAACAAAACUUAUGCAUUAUUUUUAGUAAAACUAAUUAAAUUAUCAAUUCAAAUGUUAAAAAUUCUAUCAAAGACUUUUAAAAAAUUAUAAUUAUUUAUAAUUAUAUAUUUAUCUUUUAAAACUAAUUAAAUUAUUAUAUUGUUGUAAGUUUUCUAUGACUUAAAAAAUAAUCCAUAUAUAGGCCAGGCCACACGUAGGCAGUGGGAGAAUUGUUGUUGUUGUUGUUGUUGUUGUUGUUGUUGUUGUUGUUGUUGUUGUUGUUGUUGUUGUUGUUGUUGUUGUUGUUGUUGUUGUUGUUGUUGUUGUUGUUGUUGUUGUUGUUGUUGUUGUUGUUGUUGUUGUUGUUGUUGUUGUUGUUGUUGUUGUUGUUGUUGUUGUUGUUGUUGUUGUUGUUGUUGUUGUUGUUGUUGUUGUUGUUGUUGUUGUUGUUGUUGUUGUUGUUGUUGUUGUUGUUGUUGUUGUUGUUGUUGUUGUUGUUGUUGUUGUUGUUGUUGUUGUUGUUGUUGUUGUUGUUGUAUUUCUUAUUGUUGUUGUUGUUGUUGUUGUAUUUCUUGUUGUUGUUGUUGUAUUUCUUAUUGUUAUUGUUAUUAUUAUUAUUGUUAUUAGUAUUAUUAGUAUUAUUAUUAUUAGCAUUAUUAUUAGUAUUACUAUUAUUAGUAUUAUUAGCAUUAUUAUUAAUAUUAGUAUUAUUAUUAUUAUUAUUAGUAUUACUAUUAUUAAUGUUAUUAUUAUUAUUAUUAUUAUUAUUAUCAUUACUAUUAUUAUUAUUAUUAUUAUUAUUAUUAUUCUCCCCCUUAUUAUUAUUAUUAUUAUUAUUAUUAUUGUUAUUAUUAUUAUUGUUAUUAGUAUUAUUAGUAUUAUUAUUAUUAGCAUUAUUAUUAGUAUUACUAUUAUUAAUGUUAUUAUUAUUAUUAUUAUUAUUAUUAUUAUUCUCCCCCUUAUAAUAAAAAUGGAUGAUCAAAAAUGUUAAAAAUAAAUAAAUUUUAAAUUUUAAAUUAAUUCUUUUCAAAAUUAAUUAAUUUACCUAAGAAUAUAUACUAUCCAUAAUUGAAUAACCUUCUUAUAUGUUGCAUAUUUUAUGUUCUUGAACCUUUAAUUUUUUAAAGAGAUAUCCAUUUUUAUUUUUAUAAUUAUUUAAGAUUAAAAUAGAUUAUUAAUUUUUGGCGGAAUGGCCUAAGAGUCCCUUGUACUUGACUCGAUUUGUAAGUUGGAUCCCUAUACUUACGACUUUGCCAACUAAACCCUUAAACUCAUUCAAACACAAUAUUUUAGACCCCUUUCUCAUUCGAUGGGUGUGCGUGUAGUACACUCAUUUUACACAUGAAAUACCACGUCAUUUUUUAAUGACACAUCAUUAUCAUUAUUAUUUUUCUAAUGACACAUCAGAAAUUAAAUAUUUAAAAAGAAAUAAAAAAAAUUUUAAAUGCAUCUCUCUCUCUCACUCACUCACUCACUGUACUCAUUUUACCCCCUUCCCACUUCAUCUUCUUUGUUCCCACCUUCUACCAUUUUCAUCCCAAAAAUAAAAACUACAAUUUUCAUCUUUCUUCAUAGUUCACACUUAAAAAUUUCUUCAAUCACAAAAUGUGAUAGAUUAUAAUUAGUUCUUGCAAAUGCUUUAGGAUUCUAUUUAUUUUGAUUUGAUAAAAAGAGAUAUCAAGAAAACUUCAAAUUGAAAAAAAUAUGUGUACAUGUAAAUUCAAGUAAUAGAUCUUAAAGAAUUAAGUUUAUAAAAAUGGUGAAUAAUAUAUUUUCUUGCAAAAAAAAAUUUUAAUUUUUUAUUUGAUGAUUUUAUUGUGAUAAUGUGUACGUCAAAGAUGAAGAAGAAGAAGAGAAAAGGAGUAGGGGCGGGGUAGGGUGGGGAUGGGGGCUGAGGUUGAAGAAGAAGAAGAGAAAAAGGGUGGAGUUGGGUGGGGGCUGAAGAAGAAGAAGAGAGAAGGGGUGGGGUGGAGUGAAGAAGGAGGUUUUCAAUAUUUUUUUAAAAAAAUUAUUAUUAUUGUUUGUCUUAUAAUUUGAUAAAUUUUAAAAUAAAAAUAUUGUAUUCACUUGCUUCAAAAUGCGUGGGGUCACGUAUUUGUCCAACAUAAGCUCGGACAAUGAUUAGAGGGGUUUAAAAAAAUAGAGUUUCAUUGAGUUUAAGGGUUCAUUUGGAAAGGUGAUGAGUAGAAGGGUUCAACUGACAAACGAAGCCAAGUACAGAAGCCUCCCAGGUGAUUCUGCCUUAAUUUUUUCGUGUUUAUUAUUUUGAGUGGAGAUAAAUGAAUUAUUAUGUGCCUAUGAUUUAGGAGAAGAGAUUCUACACUUCUAGGAGUAUUUAAUUAUUAUUUUUUCUUAAAACGUAGCUAUUAAUUAAUUACCUCAAUUUUUGAAAUUCAUCAUUAAAUUAGUGCUCAGAAAUUUAAAACUGAUCUCAAAAAUUUUAAAAAUUAAUUGUAAUAACUUUUGGAGAUAAAUUAAUUAAUUUAAUUGUUAUAGGAGAAAAAAGUUAAUCUUGUAAUUGCUAUUAAUAAUGGGUAAAAAAAGUGAUUUACUCUAUUGUAGUAAAUCAUUUAGUGAGUAUAGAAAUAAAUUUUAAAUUAUAUUGUAUUGAAUAUUUAUGUAAAACAUUGUUAAUAGUAUUCAUAUAGAUUAUCAAAAAUGUAAAAUUAGAAAAUAAAAUCUCAUUAAAUAUAUAAACAAUAAUUAUCAACUUAAAGAUAUUAAGAAGCAUGAGAUCUUUACCACAUUAUGAUAUAUUUUCCAUUAAUAAAAUAAAAUAAAUACAUAGAUUUGGUUAGCUUAUAGAUGAACUUUUGGUAAAUAACUUUUUUUUAUAUUGAGUCUUUAUCUAAUAAUAUCAAUUGCAUCAACAACAAAAUAAACAAUAAUUUUAUAAGAUAUUAUUAUAUUAUCAAAUGAAUGCUACACUUUCAGUAUGUGUAGAUAAUAACUUUGACAAUAUUUCAAAAAUAAGAAUAAAAUUCAGAUUCAAAUUCAAGAAAUUCACACACUAAUCAACCUGCAAAAAAAAAAGUUACAAUCAUUAAAAAUAAUUAAUAAAAAUAGAAAAAAGAAUCAACAAAAAUUAACGAUUUACAAUAAUUAUUGAAAAUAGAUUUUAAUGCUUAAAAAGUUGCAAUAGAUAAAACACAUACACAAAUCUCAUGAUAGUGUUAAUUCUAUAUAUGAAGUUUAUUAUAGUGAUUUUUGUCUCAACAACUACGAAGUCACAUUAAAAGAAGGAGCAAAAUUAAAUCGUCAAAAGAAAAACGAAAAAACGAUAUCAACUUUAAGUAGUAUUUUUCAACAUUUCAAGGAUAAAGAAUAAUAUCAAUUCAACUAUAUAAUUAAAACGACAGAUUAAUUAAAAAUAUUGUAAAUUACUUCUAGUGAUUCGGAAUACCAUAAUCAUAUAACACGAAUAUUCAACUUUUAUUGUAUCUUCAAUAGUUCAUGGACAAAAUAAUUAUGUAAAACUAUAAUUUAUUGAAUACAUUAAAUAAUUAUUAUUUUUUAUGUGUCAAGCUGUAUUAAUUAUACAAAAAUCUUCAUAUUAUCUCACAUCUUAUAUAAACAAAUAAUUAGAAGAGAAUAUUCAUAAAAUUGCAUGGUUUUCACAACAUACAAACGUGGAAAUAAAAUAACCGGCAAAAUUCAAUUUCUAUUCAUGCGAAAUUUGAUCACAUUGGAAUACUUUAUAUACUUUUAUAAAUAAAAAAAGUUAAGGAAGAAACGUAUUCACCAAUAGAUAGAAGAACUAACUAACAUGAAUUAAAGAGAUAUUUAUAAUAAUAAUAAAAAUUAACCUGAAUUAUUUGCUACACAUCUGAAACAUUAAUAAGUAAAAUUCAUGGAGUUUCAUCGUUCAUCUCUUUUUCUGCCAUUUGAAAAUUUUGAAUAUUAGCAUGUCCUAUGAGAUAUGAAGAGAAUUGUGUUUUAAAUAGAUAACUAAGAAGUUUAAACUCCUACAAAAUAGUGAGGAAGUUAAAACUAUUUUCACAACUGCAACUUUUAUCUCUAAAACCGUUUAAUAUUUAAUUUUUAAAUUCAAGUCUUUUAAUUAUUUUAAAAAAACGUGUGUAGGUGUGUUUAUGAGUUAGUGGAGAUUUUUUUUUUAGUUGAGAGAUGGUUUAAAAAAUGUGUUACAACUCUAUUUUUUUAUUACUUCAAUUUUUUUAAUCAGUAAAUAUAGAAUAUAUAUAUUAUAAGUUGUAUUUUUUAAAAAUAUAUAUGUUUAUUUUAAAAUGCAAAUAAGAAAAAAUAAACAGUUACCGUGUUUAAGAUAAUUUUUAAAAUGUUUAAAAUUUUGUGUAUCAAUAAAAAUGGUUUUGCAGUUACAUUUCCCUUAUUUUAAAAAUUAUUUUAAAAUUAUAUAGAUUUAAUUCAUUUUAGAUAUAUAAAAAAUACGCUUUUUGUGGUGCUGACAUGUAGGCGCUAUCACCUCUCAUAUUAUAUAUAGAUAGAUACGUGCUUUGUCAAUCGUAUAAAUGCAAGGCGUCAUGCAUGACAAAAGAAUUAUCCUCAAACAUGUUUUUGUAUCUUUCUUUUGUGGGAAAUUAUAUUACAUUCAAACAUGAAAACGGUAGUGAGUUUGAAUUGUAUAAGGAAUAAACAAAUUCAAUUUAUUAUUGUUUUUCAAAAAAGAGAAUAAAUCAACCGUUUGUAACGAACAUGAUUUAAAAACUGUUUUAAAAUUUUAUUUAGUUUUUAUAUUAUUGUUUAUUAUUUAAUAUGUAUAGAAAUUAAAUUAUUAUUAAUUAUUUAAUAUAAUUAGAAAUUUUGUAGUGCCGACAUGUGGCACUAUUUCCUCUCCUAUUAUAUAUAGAUAGAUACGUGCUUUGUCGAUCGUAUAAAUCCAAGGCGUCAUGCAUGACAAAAGAAUUAUCCUCAAACAUGUUUUUGUAUCUUUCUUUUUCCUCUUUUUUCAAUCUUUACAUGCUCUUUUUAUGGUACACUUUGAAUAAUGGGAGUGACAGUGCCACUUCAUGCAUUACGUUCCCAUUACAAGGAAACUUCUUUGAUUUUAUUUCUAUUUUUUACAAAAAAAAAAAAAAAAACUUAAUUAAUUAACAUUUUAUAAUUUAAUUGGUGAGUUCAAAUUGUCAUUUAGAGCUGAUAUAUUCUUCGUUAUGAUGACUCAUAUAUACAUCUAGCUAUUGUUACACAAAUGACUAACAUAUACCUUUUACCUCUAACAAAAGUGAAAACAUAUUAAUUUUAAAUUAAUUUUUAUUAAUUUCUUAUUAAAAAAUCCAUGUAGGGGUAUAUUUGAUUCUUCUCACACUUUUUUUUUUACUUUCUAAAUUCAGUGGCUAAUUUAAAUUUAUUAUUUUGAUGGUCAAAUUUUUUUCCACUUAUUUUCUUGUAAAAUUUAUUAUAGAUGUCCCAAUUUAUGUUACGAUAUAAAAAAAAUUAAAUUACAAUAUAGCCGUAAAAAGGUAGUUUUAAUUUUUUUUUCUCCUUUUUCAUUCACACUUUUUUUUACACUAAAAAUGAAAGAAAAAAUGAAAUAAGAAUAAGAAAUUCAAAUAAUAAUAAUCAAAGAAGCCAAAAAAAUAAUUUAUGUGUGAAAAAUCAAAUACAUAAAUAUUUUAAUUAUUAAAAAUAAAAAAACAUUAAUUUAAAAUUAUUAUUUAUCACUUUUUGUAGCGGUAGGGGUAUGUGUGAGUCAAUUUUGUAAUGAUAAAUGUAUAUAUGAGCCACUUUUACAGCGAGAGUUAUACCAGCUCUAAAUGACAAAGUUAACGGUAUACUAGACGCUUUUCCCUUAAAUGUAAUUAGUUACACUCUAUUAUAACAAAUAAAUAUAUAUCUUUAUAUUUGAGCAACAAAUAGAAUAAUAAUAUUUUAAUUUACAUAAUCUAAAAAAAAUUGGUGCGAGGGCAAAUAUAAAUUAUUAAUUUUGAAACUAUUAAAUUUAAAAUAUUACUCUCCAAUCUGUAUUAAGUGAUGUUUUUAGCUUAAACCGAUUCAGGAGAGAAGGUGUGAAACCUAAAAGGAGGAGGAAGACUCCACUUCAAUUCAACGUUCUAAAAUAAUAUAAUAUUGACAAGUACUUACACAUCUUCUACGUAAUUUCCCAAUUUCUUGUAUUAAGUGAACAUAUUCUACAGUUAAGUCAUGCUAUUCACACUUGCUUCUACACUAUACCCCUCACUUUUUGAUUUUUCAUAAAUACCUUGAUUAUUUCACAAUCUUAUUUAUAUAUAUAGAUAUACGUCAGAUUUAAUCUCAAAGGCAAUUAAAUAUUUAAUUGUUGAUGCAUUCAAGUUAUUUUGAUAUGAAAGUGGGCAAUUACUUAUUCUCAAACAAGAAUAAUGAUGGGAAUAGUCAUGAUGAUAAUAAUUCUAGGAAUAAUAAGGCAUCAUCAUUGAGGUUGAGAUUCAAAAAUUCGUGUUUGAGGAAGAAGAAGAGGAUAUACAAAUUGCGUAAUUGGUUCAUUGACUCAAUUUUAUUCAAGAUUGUCUCUCUCUUUGAAGCAAUUGUUAUGGUUUCUACCUUAGCUUUCUUCUUAUUCUCUUAUGGUUUUUGUAUUUGAUAUAUUCUCUGUAAACCAAGGGUUCAUUAUUAUUGGACAAAAGUUGAUAUCUAAUGGGGUGUAAGGUUCAUUUGAUUUAUUUAGUUUUCUUUGCUGAUAUUCUCGUGUUUAUACACUAGGGUUCCCAUUUUGCCGUUCAGUUUUUCGAUUUCGACGUUUUCUUUAUUGUUCAUGACUCAAUAAAAUACAUAAUUCAAUAAAUAAGUAAACAACUUAUAUAUAAUAAAUUCGAAGUAUGAAUUCAAGUAAUUACAACAGUUGGGUUUUAAAAUGUGUCAAUGAGAAAUGAAGAGUUGUGACUUUUAUGAAAGGUUGUGACCUUUCCGAAAGAUUGUGGUUUUUCCAAAAGGUUGUGGCAUUUUCGGUAAGGUACAAUAAGAUCAUUUUCACACUACCCUUUGUUUUAUUAUAAAUUGAGGGAUUUCCUCUCAUUUUAAGAGAACCAAUUUUCUGGACUUCUUCUACUAUUACUACUAAAUCUAGUAUUCUAAGUGUAUAUUAUUGUUGUUGAGUGGUUCGCUGACACCGUAGUUUUAGGUACCAAUACACCGGUAAGUAAGAUCGUUCUAUUCUGGGAGGAUAUAUUUCAUUAACCUCGGGUACUUGAGGGGAAUAAUUUCCUUAAGGGGACACUGUGCAUUCAGUGGACUCAAUUUUCUUCUUUAAGAAAAUAUUUUGUAUAUUGUUUCUAAUAUGUUUCUGAUUCUAUUUUCUCUACUAGUUUUAAUUUUCUAGUUUUGAAAAUACUCUUUAAAUGUUGUUGUUUCUUAUCAAGUUCUUCAAAGUUUUUGUUCUAAGUAUCUUAGGAAUACAACAUGACCAACAAUCUUAAGGCAAUUAGUAUAGUACUAUUAAUACUAGAAAACUUGUCCGCGCUUCGCGCGGUAUAACAAUAAUUUAAAAUAAACUUUUUAUAAAUUACCUAUUCAUGAAAUAUAAGUUGCAGUACUUCAAGUUCAUAUGAUUUUUUUUUUUGCCAAAACCCUUAUAUUCAUAAGUUAUAAUAGUUAAUCAAUAAUAAGAAGGACAUUAAUAUUUUGAUAUAUUAUGUUAGCAAAAUAGAAAAUUAAUGAAUCAGAAAUAAUUUAACAAUCUAAAAGUGAUUACUUUUAAAUCUAUAAUACAAUAUGAAUAAAGCUUGAAUUUUGUAGGUCAUCAACUUUUAUUGAAAAAUAAAAAUAAAACUAAAAGUAUAAUAGUACUAUGAAUGACCCAGUAUCGACUAAAAGCAACAUUGAUAUUAAUUUGCUCAAAUCAAAUAAUAAGAAUAUCGACUAAGAACAACAUUGAUACUGGGUCAUUCAUAGAUUAUUUCUUAUUAUUUGAUCUGAGCAAAUUAAUAUCAAUGUUGCUUUUAGUCGAUACUGGGUCAUUCAUAGUACUAUUAUACUUUUAGUUUUAUUUUUAUAUUUCAAUAGACAUUUAAGAACAGCAUUGAUAUACUUAUAACAUAUAGAUAUCGAUCUUUAGUAGAAGAAAUAAUCUAAGAAUUCAAAAUAAAACGAUAAAUCAAAUUCUAUUUAUAUAUUAAAAAAAUACAUUUUUUAUGCAGUUUAUGACAAUUAAUUUUUGAAAUAAAUAAAGAAAUAAAAAAGUAAAAAGAAAAAAGAAAUGAUUUAAGGAAAUGAUACACAUAACAUUAUUGAUGAAUUUAAGGAAAGAAAUUUAAAAAAUUAAUAGCAUCAAUGAUGAAAUGAUUUAAAUAUGGGCGUAUUUGAUAAUUCAAUAAGGUUUUGAGGUAGAAUUUUUAGUCUUUCCAAAAUUUGGAAAAGUAUAAAAAAAAAUAGAAAAAUAAUAAAUAAACUUCCACAUAAUUUUUAACAAUUAGUAAGGAAAAUAUAACAGAAAAUGUCAAAAAAAAUUGAUUAAAAUAAACAAAUAUCUGAAAUAAGAAGGUUGUCAUCUUUUUCUAAUUUUAAUUUUAUUAUUACGCAUAUAUAUGAAUCUUUAGCCGAAAGAAGCGAUAUAAAUUAAAAAAGUUAAAUUUCAUAAAAAAAAAAUAUAUGUGAUUCUUACCAUGUUAUAAUUACUAAUUUCUUGUAAAAAAUAAAUUAAAAAAGGUAAAAGAAUUAUAAAAAAAAAAAGCAUUAAGGAAAUGAUAUGAAUGAAAGUAAUAAUCAAGAUGAAGUAAGAAAAAAUAAUAUGAUUGAUGAUGAAUGGAAUUAAAUGUAGUCACUUUGAUAUUCACUAAAAUUUGAAAGUAAAAUUUUCAGUUUUUUAAAAUAAUUCUUUUUAUAAAAUUUAAAAAACGAAAAAAAAACAAUAAAAUAAAACAAACUUCAAUCAAAGUUAUAUUAAAGAAAUAAAACAAACUUCAAUUAAAUUUCUUCAAUUAAAGUUAUAUAAAAGGGAAAAAAAACUACAAUUAAAGAUAGAUAGGGAAAAAACAUUUUAAGAGAAAAAUAACAAAAAAAAACGGAAAUUAGAAAUAAAUGACAAAUUAAAGUCUAUUUCUGUAUUAAAAAAUGCAUUUUUUAAAAUAAAGUUAUAACAAUUAAUUUUUAAAAUAAAUAAAUAAAAAGAACAAAGAAAGGAAAAAAUUAAUUUAAGGAAAUGAUAUAAAUUACAUUAAUGAUGAGUUUAAGGAAAGAAAAUUUUAAAAAUUAAUAGCAUCUAUGAUGAAAAGGAUUUAAAUAUGGUCAUAUUUUGAUAUUCUGCAAAAUUUUCAAGGUAAAAUUUUCAUUAUUUUUAAAAAAAUAGGAAAAAUGCACAAAAUAAGAAUUAGAAAAAUAAAUAAAUAAACUUCUAGACACAAUUUUUAGCAAUUAUUUUAAGAAAAUAUAAAGAGAAAAAUGUCAUAAAAAUAUGAUAAAAUAAAUAAAUAUAGGUUGUCAUCCUUUUCUAAUUUUAACUUUAUUAUUACGUAUAGAUAUGAAUCUUUUAACAGAAGAAAUGAUCUAUGUUUAAAUAAAAUAAACUAAAUUUCGUAAAAUAUAUAUGCAAUUCUUACCAAUUUAUAAUAACUAUUUUCUUGUAACAAAAAAAUAAAUAAAAAGUAAGAAAGAAAGAAAGAGAAAAAAGCAAUUUAAAGAAAUGAUAUAAAUGAGAAUAAAGAGAUCAAACUAAGGCAAGGAAGUAAAAAAAAAGUAUGAUUAAUGAUGAAUGAAAUUAAAUAUUCAAUAAAUUUGAAAGUGAAAUUUUCAGUCGUUUAAAAUUAAAAAAAAUAUAUUAAAUUUAAAAACAAAAACAAAAAACUACAAAAAUAUAGACAAACUUCUGUUAAAAAUAUAUAAAAGAUAAUAAAACAAACUUUAAUUAAAGAUAGAUAAGGAAAAAUAAAUAAUUAUUAAUUUUGAAUCUGUCAACUUAAAAAUGUUACUCCCUUAAGUCAUACUAGGUGAUGUUUUUAGCUUCGAUAAAUCUAAAAAAGCAUGUGAAAUGUCAUUAAAAAAAUAAUUUAAUUCAACGAUAUAAAAUAAUAUUAACAAGUACGUACAUAUCUUCUACGUGAUUCCCACUUUCUUUGAAUUCACUAUCUCUUUCCUAAAGGGUGCAAUUAAGUCAUGCUAUUCAUAAAGGGUGCAUCCAGCCCCCCACUUUUGAUAAUUCAUAAAUACCUUUUUUCCACAACCUUAUAUAUAGGUACACCAAAACCCCCUCAUUGCCUCAUCAAACUCAUCAUCUAUAUUGUUCUAUAUCCAAAGAAACAAACUAAGUCAAGAAUCCAAGUGAAAAUAGUUGUUACAUUCAAGUUAUUUAGAUAUGAAAGCAGAAGGUUAUUUGUUGUCACUCAAGAUGCUAAACAAGAACAAUAUUGAAAAUAUUAGCGCGCCUAAACGUGUUAGCAAUGUUGGUGGUUCUCAAGAUGAAAAUAAUUGUAGUACUAAGACAUCAUCGUUGAGGUUGAGAUUCAAGAAUUCGUGUUUGAGGAAGAAGAAGAGAAUAUACAAAUUGCGCAAAUGGUUCAUUGACUCAAUUUUAUUCAAGAUUGUCUCUCUUUUUGAAGCAAUUGUUAUGGUUUCUACCUUAGCUUUCUUCUUAUUCUCUUAUGGCUUUCGUAUUUAAUUCUUAUUUGUAUCUAUAUAUAUUCUCUGUAAACAAGGCUUCAUUUUGGACAAAAGUGGAUAUGUAAUGGGGUGUAAGGUUCAUUUGAUUUAUUAAUUUAGUUUUCUUUAUUGAUAUUCUCAUGUUUAUACACUAGGAUUCCCAUUUUUCGAUUUAGACAUUUUCUUUUUUGUUCAUGACUCAAUAAAAUGCAUACUUAAACAAA